CAAAGAAUAGUUUAUUUAAAAUAUUAAUUUUGGAGAUUAGUGAAAGGGGAAAACUCUUUCUUUGA
RNAcentral lists this transfer RNA (65 nucleotides) under Nectoboreus dolerosus. RNAcentral describes it as "tRNA-Pro". Lineage: Eukaryota; Metazoa; Arthropoda; Insecta; Coleoptera; Dytiscidae. The record is from RNAcentral.